Molecule: ribosomal RNA, 460 nt
Filed under: uncultured bacterium
Lineage: Bacteria
Description: partial 16S ribosomal RNA
Rfam family: Bacterial small subunit ribosomal RNA
Source: RNAcentral
CCUACGGGUGACAGCAGUGAGGAAUAUUGGUCAAUGGACGAGAGUCUGAACCAGCCAAGCAGCGUGAAGGAUGACUGUGCCAAGGGUUGUAAACUUCUUUUAUAAAGGAAUAAAAUGAGGCACGAGAGCCUGUCCGCAUGUACUUUAUGAAUAAGCAUCGGCUAACUCCGUGCCAGCAGCCGCGGUAAUACGGAGGAUCCGAGCGUUAUCCGGAUUUAUUGGGUUUAAAGGGAGCGUAGAUGGGUUGUUAAGUCAGUUGUGAAAGCUUGGGGCUCAACCCUAACAGAGCAAUUGAUACUGGCAGUCUUGAGAAGAGGUGAGGUAGGCGGAAUUCGUGGUGUAGCGGUGAAAUGCUUAGAUAUCGCGCAGAACCCCGAUUGCGAAGGCAGCAUACUAGAGUGGGACUGACGUUGAGGCACGAAAGUGUGGGUAUCGAACAGGAUUAGAUACCCCUGUAGUC